Molecule: ribosomal RNA, 457 nt
Filed under: uncultured bacterium
Lineage: Bacteria
Description: bacterial SSU rRNA
Rfam family: Bacterial small subunit ribosomal RNA
Source: RNAcentral
AUGAACGUUGGCGGUGCGCCUAAUACAUGCAAGUCGAACGGAGACAGUAGCAAUAUUGUCUUAAUGGCUAACGGGUGAGUAACGCGUUGGUGAUCUGCCUCGAAGUGUGGAAUAACGUUCCGCAAGGAGCACUAAUACCGCAUGGUCUUUCGGUUUUUAGAAAACUGGAAGUAAAGGAGUAAUUCGCUUCGAGAGGAGCCUGCGUCCCAUCAGCUAGUUGGUAAGGUAAUGGCUUACCAAGGCUAUGACGGGUAGGGGACCUGAGAGGGUGGCCACCCACAAUGGAACUGAGACACGGUCCAUACACCUACGGGUGGCAGCAGUAGGGAAUAUUAGUAAUGGGCGAAAGCCUGAACUAGCGACACCGCGUGGGCGAAGAAGGCCUUCGGGUUGUAAAGCACUUUUAGAGAGGAUGAGGAAGGACGGUACUCUCUGAAUAAGUCGCGGCUAACUACGU